RNAcentral lists this ribosomal RNA (253 nucleotides) under uncultured bacterium. Its description in RNAcentral is "partial 16S ribosomal RNA". It matches the Rfam family "Bacterial small subunit ribosomal RNA", at positions 524 to 776 of the family's 1533-position model. The record is from RNAcentral.
UACGGAGGGUGCAAGCGUUGUCCGGAUUUAUUGGGUUUAAAGGGUGCGUAGGCGGCCCGUUAAGUCAGCGGUGAAAUCCCGGGGCUCAACCCCGGAACUGCCGUUGAUACUGGCGGGCUUGAGUUCGAUGAAGGCGGGCGGAACUGGCGGUGUAGCGGUGAAAUGCUUAGAUACCGCCAAGAACCCCGAUUGCGUAGGCAGCUCGCUGUGCCGAAACUGACGCUGAGGCACGAAAGCGUGGGGAGCGAACAGG